GACGAAGGAUCCAAGCGUUAUCCGGAUUCAUUGGGUUUAAAGGGAGCGUAGGCGGACUUAUAAGUCAGUGGUGAAAGCCGAUAGCUUAACUAUCGAACUGCCAUUGAUACUGUAAGUCUAGAGUACAGAUGAUGUUGGCGGAAUAUGACAUGUAGCGGUGAAAUGCAUAGAUAUGUCAUAGAACACCGAUUGCGAAGGCAGCUGACAAAACUGUAACUGACGCUGAGGCUCGAAAGUGCGGGGAUCAAACAGG
Molecule: ribosomal RNA, 253 nt
Filed under: uncultured bacterium
Lineage: Bacteria
Also listed under: 1 other name
Description: partial 16S ribosomal RNA
Rfam family: Bacterial small subunit ribosomal RNA
Source: RNAcentral